RNAcentral lists this ribosomal RNA (323 nucleotides) under uncultured Alkaliflexus sp. RNAcentral describes it as "bacterial SSU rRNA". It matches the Rfam family "Bacterial small subunit ribosomal RNA", at positions 355 to 673 of the family's 1533-position model. Lineage: Bacteria; Pseudomonadati; Bacteroidota; Bacteroidia; Marinilabiliales; Marinilabiliaceae. The record is from RNAcentral.
UGAGGAAUAUUGGUCAAUGGACGCAAGUCUGAACCAGCCAAGUCGCGUGCAGGAAUAAGGCCCUAUGGGUCGCAGACUGCUUUUGCAUGAGAAUAAAAAAGUGGGACGAGUCCCACCCUGUAGGUAUCAUGCGAAUAAGGAUCGGCUAACUCCGUGCCAGCAGCCGCGGUAAUACGGGAGGAUCCGAGCGUUAUCCGGAUUCAUUGGGUUUAAAGGGUGCGCAGGCGGGUCUGUAAGCCCGUGGUGAAAGCCUGGUGCUCAACGCCAGAGGUGCCGCGGGAACUGCAGGUCUUGAGUCGUGACGAGGGCGGCGGAAUGCGAAG